RNAcentral lists this ribosomal RNA (472 nucleotides) under uncultured bacterium. RNAcentral's name for it is "bacterial SSU rRNA". It matches the Rfam family "Bacterial small subunit ribosomal RNA", at positions 330 to 793 of the family's 1533-position model. The record is from RNAcentral.
UCCAGACUCCUACGGGAGGCAGCAGUGGGGAAUAUUGCGCAAUGGGCGAAAGCCUGACGCAGCGACGCCGCGUGAGGGAUGAAGGUCUUCGGAUCGUAAACCUCUGUCAGCAGGGAAGAACGGUCACUGUGCUAAUCAGCAGUGAAUUGACGGUACCUGCAAAGGAAGCACCGGCUAACUCCGUGCCAGCAGCCGCGGUAAUACGGAGGGUGCAAGCGUUGUCCGGAAUCAUUGGGCGUAAAGAGUUCGUAGGCGGUAUGUUAAGUCUGGUGUUAAAUGCAGAAGCUCAACUUCUGUUCGGCACUGGAUACUGGCAAACUAGAAUGUGGUAGAGGUAAAGGGAAUUCCUGGUGUAGCGGUGAAAUGCUUAGAUAUCAGGAGGAACAUCGGUGGCGUAAGCGCUUUACUGGGCCGUAAUUGACGCUGAGGAACGAAAGCCAGGGUAGCAAAUGGGAUUAGAUACCCUAGUAAG